AUGGAAUGGAGCGGGGUCUUUAUCUUUCUCCUGUCAGUAACUGCAGGUGUCCACUCCCAGGUCCAGCUGCAGCAGUCUGGAGCUGAGCUGGUAAGGCCUGGGACUUCAGUGAAGAUGUCCUGCAAGGCUUCUGGAUACACCUUCACUAACUACUGGAUAGGUUGGGCAAAGCAGAGGCCUGGACAUGGCCUUGAGUGGAUUGGAGAUAUUUACCCUGGAGGUGGUUAUACUAACUACAAUGAGAAGUUCAAGGGCAAGGCCACACUGACUGCAGACAAAUCCUCCAGCACAGCCUACAUGCAGUUCAGCAGCCUGACAUCUGAGGACUCUGCCAUCUAUUACUGUGCAAGA
This is a non-coding RNA of Mus musculus (house mouse), 351 nucleotides long. NCBI's taxonomy places the organism in Eukaryota, Metazoa, Chordata, Mammalia, Rodentia, Muridae. The record is from the annotation of a RefSeq genome assembly.